RNAcentral lists this ribosomal RNA (253 nucleotides) under uncultured bacterium. RNAcentral describes it as "partial 16S ribosomal RNA". It matches the Rfam family "Bacterial small subunit ribosomal RNA", at positions 524 to 776 of the family's 1533-position model. The record is from RNAcentral.
UACGGGGGGAGCAAGCGUUGUUCGGAUUUACUGGGCGUAAAGAGCGUGUAGGCGGUCCGAUAAGUCCGCUCUGAAAGCCCGGGGCUCAACCCCGGGAGGCGGGCGGAUACUGUCGGGCUAGAGUCCGGAAGAGGCAAGUGGAAUUCCUGGUGUAGCGGUGAAAUGCGCAGAUAUCAGGAGGAACACCAAUGGCGAAGGCAGCUCGCUGGGACGUGACUGACGCUGAGACGCGAAAGCGUGGGGAGCAAACAGG